This 484-nucleotide ribosomal RNA is filed under the name uncultured bacterium. RNAcentral's name for it is "partial 16S ribosomal RNA". It matches the Rfam family "Bacterial small subunit ribosomal RNA", at positions 30 to 507 of the family's 1533-position model. The record is from RNAcentral.
AUUGAACGCUGGCGGCAGGCCUAACACAUGCAAGUCGAGCGGAUGAAGGGAGCUUGCUCCUGGAUUCAGCGGCGGACGGGGGAGUAAUGCCUAGGAAUCUGCCGGGCAGGGGGGGAUAACGUCCGGAAACGGGCGCUAAUACCGCAUACGACCUGAUGGUGAAAGAGGGGGAUCUUCGGACCUCACGCUAUCAGAUGAGCCUAGGCCGGAUUAGCUAGCUGGUGGGGUAAAGGCCUACCAAGGCGACGAUCCGUAACUGGUCUGAGAGGAUGAUCAGUCACACUGGAACUGGGACACGGUCCAGGCGCCUACGGGAGGCAGCAGUGGGGAAUAUUGGACAAUGGGCGAAAGCCUGAUCCAGCCAUGCCGCGUGUGUGACGAAGGUCUUCGGAUUGUAAAGCACUUUAAGUUGGGAGGAAGGGCAGUAAGUUAAUACCUUGCUGUUUUGACGGUACCAACUGAAUAAGCACCGGCUAACUUCGUG